Molecule: microRNA precursor, 96 nt
Filed under: Picea abies (Norway spruce)
Lineage: Eukaryota; Viridiplantae; Streptophyta; Pinopsida; Pinales; Pinaceae
Description: miR11423c stem-loop (pab-MIR11423c)
Source: miRBase by way of RNAcentral
UGGUACCGUCGAGAAAUGUCGCCGGUCGUAUCAUACAUCGUUUCCAAAUCGAGAAACGCCGUAUGGUAUGGCCGACGACGUUUCUCGGCCGUACCA